AUUGAACGCUGGCGGCAGGCCUAACACAUGCAAGUCGAGCGGAUGAAGGGAGCUUGCUCCUGGAUUCAGCGGCGGACGGGUGAGUAAUGCCUAGGAAUCUGCCUGGUAGUGGGGGAUAACGUCCGGAAACGGGCGCUAAUACCGCAUACGUCCUGAGGUAGAAAGUGGGGGAUCUUCGGACCUCACGCUAUCAGAUGAGCCUAGGUCGGAUUAGCUAGUUGGUGGGGUAAAGGCCUACCAAGGCGACGAUCCGUAACUGGUCUGAGAGGAUGAUCAGUCACACUGGAACUGAGACACGGUCCAGACUCCUACGGGAGGCAGCAGUGGGGAAUAUUGGACAAUGGGCGAAAGCCUAAUCCAGCCAUGCCGCGUGUGUGAAGAAGGUCUUCGGAUUGUAAAGCACUUUAAGUUGGGAGGAAGGGCAGUAAGUUAAUACCUUGCUGUUUUGACGUUACCAACAGAAUAAGCACCGGCUAACUUCGUG
Molecule: ribosomal RNA, 484 nt
Filed under: uncultured bacterium
Lineage: Bacteria
Description: partial 16S ribosomal RNA
Rfam family: Bacterial small subunit ribosomal RNA
Source: RNAcentral